AUGCUCCGGCUCCGAAGCUGCACCCUCACCCAGAUCCUCUCUUCUCCCUACGCCUCCCAUGUCUCUCCUCUCCACCGCCUCCUCUCCGCCGCAGCCGCCUCCGGCAUUUCCCCGGCAGCCACCCCUGGCUUCGCCGCAGAGGAGUACCUCGUCUCCGCCUGCGGCCUCACCCGAGCGCAGGCCGCCAAGGCCUCCGCCAAGCUCUCCCACCUCAAGUCCCCGGCCAAGCCCGACGCCGUCCUCGCCUUCCUCGCCGGCCUCGGCCUCUCCGGCACCGACGUCGCGGCCGUCGUCGCCAAGGACCCGCGGUUCCUCUGCGCCAAAGUGGAGAGAACUCUGUCCCCCGUCGUCGUCGCGCUGACCGGCCUCGGCCUCUCGCGCUCUGAGGUCGCGCGCAUCGCCGUGCUCGUCCCCGGCAAACUCCGCUGCAGAUCCAUCGUCUCUGAUCUACAGUACUACCUGGCUAUCUUCGGGUGCAUGGCUCCGUCCGCUCAAGCACGGCUCCUGGCUCCUUGGUUCUGA
RNAcentral lists this ribosomal RNA (522 nucleotides) under Triticum aestivum (bread wheat). RNAcentral describes it as "partial small subunit ribosomal RNA". The record is from RNAcentral. Lineage: Eukaryota; Viridiplantae; Streptophyta; Magnoliopsida; Poales; Poaceae.